This 309-nucleotide ribosomal RNA is filed under the name Triticum aestivum (bread wheat). Its description in RNAcentral is "partial small subunit ribosomal RNA". Lineage: Eukaryota; Viridiplantae; Streptophyta; Magnoliopsida; Poales; Poaceae. The record is from RNAcentral.
AUGCUGAAACAGAGGAUUGUUGGUUUGGCGGCAAUCGAGCGGGCAUGAAAGAGGCAAGCAUCCAGGAUCACCUGGCUUCGAGCUGGAGAUGCCAAAACUGCUUUCUUUCAGGAAAAGAUCAAUGGUCGGCGCCGCAAAAACUUCAUUCACGCCCUGAGCUCGAGGGAGGGAGGGAGCAUGGUGACCACGCACGAAGACAAGGCAGAUAUGAUCCAUCAGCAUUUCACACAGCUGUUGUGCAGGGGGAAAACGAGGGGGCAAACCAUCAACUGGGACAGCUUGGAGCUUCCACGGAUCCAAAACGAUGGA